RNAcentral lists this ribosomal RNA (484 nucleotides) under uncultured bacterium. Its description in RNAcentral is "partial 16S ribosomal RNA". It matches the Rfam family "Bacterial small subunit ribosomal RNA", at positions 28 to 523 of the family's 1533-position model. The record is from RNAcentral.
GACGAACGCUGGCGGCGUGCUUAACACAUGCAAGUCGAACGAUGAAGCUAGAGCUUGCUCUGGUGGAUUAGUGGCGAACGGGUGAGUAACACGUGAGUAACCUGCCCCGAACUCUGGGAUAACUGCUGGAAACGGUAGCUAAUACCGGAUAUGACCAAUGAAGGCAUCUUCUGUUGGUGGAAAGAAUUUCGGUUCGGGAUGGACUCGCGGCCUAUCAGCUUGUUGGUGAGGUAACGGCUCACCAAGGCGACGACGGGUAGCCGACCUGAGAGGGUGAUCGGCCACACUGGGACUGGGACACGGCCCAGACUCCUACGGAAGGCAGCAGUGGGGAAUAUUGCACAAUGGGCGCAAGCCUGAUGCAGCAACGCCGCGUGAGGGACGACGGCCUUCGGGUUGUAAACCUCUUUUAGUAGGGAAGAAGCGAAAGUGACGGUACCUGCAGAAAAAGCACCGGCUAACUACGUGCCAGCCGCCGCCGUAA